RNAcentral lists this ribosomal RNA (484 nucleotides) under uncultured bacterium. RNAcentral describes it as "partial 16S ribosomal RNA". It matches the Rfam family "Bacterial small subunit ribosomal RNA", at positions 29 to 507 of the family's 1533-position model. The record is from RNAcentral.
AUUGAACGCUGGCGGCAUGCUUUACACAUGCAAGUCGAACGGCAGCGCGGGCUUCGGCCUGGCGGCGAGUGGCGAACGGGUGAGUAAUACAUCGGAACGUGCCCAGUAGUGGGGGAUAGCUCGGCGAAAGCCGGAUUAAUACCGCAUACGACCUGAGGGUGAAAGCGGGGGAUCUUCGGACCUCGCGCUAUUGGAGCGGCCGAUGGCAGAUUAGCUAGUUGGUGGGGUAAAGGCCUACCAAGGCGACGAUCUGUAGCUGGUCUGAGAGGACGACCAGCCACACUGGGACUGAGACACGGCCCAGACUCCUACGGGAGGCAACAGUGGGGAAUUUUGGACAAUGGGCGAAAGCCUGAUCCAGCAAUGCCGCGUGUGUGAUGAAGGCCUUCGGGUUGUAAAGCACUUUUGGCGGGAACGAAAAGGACUGUGCCAAUACCACGGUUCGAUGACGGUACCCGCAGAAUAAGCACCGGCUAACUACGUG